Molecule: ribosomal RNA, 823 nt
Filed under: uncultured crenarchaeote
Lineage: Archaea; Thermoproteati; Thermoproteota
Description: bacterial SSU rRNA
Rfam family: Archaeal small subunit ribosomal RNA
Source: RNAcentral
GCCAUGCAGUCGAUGGGAUACCUAAAUUUCCCAUGGCGAACUGCUCAGUAACACAUGAUCAACUUGCCCUAUAGAGAGAAAUAACCUCGGGAAACUGAGGAUAAUUUUUCAUAGUUGAAUUGGCUUGGAAAAGUUUUUCAAUAAAAAGGAUAAAGAAAAUGGUCUUUAUUCGCUAUAGGAUAGGAUCGUGUUCGAUUAUGGUAGUUGGUGAGGUAAAGGCUCACCAAGCCGAUAAUCGAUAGGGGCCGUGAGAGCGGGAGCCCCGAGAUGGGUACUGAGACAACGACCCAGGCCUUACGAGGCGCAGCAGGCGCGAAACCUCCGCAAUACACGAAAGUGUGAUGGGGUUACCCAAAGUGUUCAUUAUUGAACUGUGGUAGGUGAGUAAUGUUCCCUACUAGAAAGGAGAGGGCAAGGCUGGUGCCAGCCGCCGCGGUAAAACCAGCUCUUCAAGUGGUCGGGAUAAUUAUUGGGCUUAAAGUGUCCGUAGCCGGUUUAGCAAGUUCCUGGUAAAAUCGGGUAGCUUAACUAUCUAUAUGCUAGGAAUACUGCUAUACUAGAGGGCGGGAGAGGUCUGAGGUACUACAGGGGUAGGGGUGAAAUCUUAUAAUCCUUGUAGGACCACCAGUGGCGAAGGCGUCAGACUGGAACGCGCCUGACGGUGAGGGACGAAAGCCAGGGGAGCGAACCGGAUUAGAUACCCGGGUAGUCCUGGCUGUAAACGAUGCAUACUAGUGAUGGCACGGCCAUGAGCCGUGUCAGUGCCGUAGGGAAACCGUUAAGUGUGCCGCCUGGGAAGUACGGUCGCAAGGCUAAAACUUAA